CACAGUAGCCGCGGGAAUACGGAGGAUCCAAGCGUUAUCCGGAAUCAUUGGGUUUAAAGGGUCCGUAGGCGGUCUUGUAAGUCAGUGGUGAAAGCCCAUCGCUCAACGGUGGAACGGCCAUUGAUACUGCAGGACUUGAAUUAUUGGGAAGUAACUAGAAUAUGUAGUGUAGCGGUGAAAUGCUUAGAGAUUACAUGGAAUACCAAUUGCGAAGGCAGGUUACUACCAAUUGAUUGACGCUGAUGGACGAAAGCGUGGGUAGCGAACAGGAUUAGAUACCCGCGUAGUCCCUGUCUCUUAUACA
This 304-nucleotide ribosomal RNA is filed under the name uncultured bacterium. RNAcentral describes it as "partial 16S ribosomal RNA". It matches the Rfam family "Bacterial small subunit ribosomal RNA", at positions 507 to 808 of the family's 1533-position model. The record is from RNAcentral.